RNAcentral lists this microRNA precursor (148 nucleotides) under Populus trichocarpa (black cottonwood). Its description in RNAcentral is "MIR480 microRNA precursor family". It matches the Rfam family "MIR480 microRNA precursor family", at positions 1 to 119 of the family's 140-position model. The record is from Rfam by way of RNAcentral. Lineage: Eukaryota; Viridiplantae; Streptophyta; Magnoliopsida; Malpighiales; Salicaceae.
UAGUCUUUCUAGUUCAAAUCUCCAUCUAGUUAUGUCAAAUCCACAUCUAAAUGCUAAGAAUAUUCAGCUUUUACAAGCCCGACUGCAUCAUUCUUCCCAGGAUAGAGAGAGCUCAUCCUUAAAUUUUGUUCUUCCUCUAAAUAAGAUG